RNAcentral lists this small RNA (288 nucleotides) under Oerskovia paurometabola. RNAcentral describes it as "5' ureB small RNA". It matches the Rfam family "5' ureB small RNA". The record is from RNAcentral. Lineage: Bacteria; Bacillati; Actinomycetota; Actinomycetes; Micrococcales; Cellulomonadaceae.
CUGCUGCGGGGAGAUGUAGUGCACGUGGCUGUCGAACGCCCCAGCGGUGGCGAUGCAGUGCUCGCCCGCCAGGAUCUCGGUGGUCGCACCCACCACGAGACGCGGGUCGACCCCGCUCUGCAGAUGGGGGUUGCCCGACUUGCCGAUGCCGGCGAUCUUGCCGUCCUUGACGCCGAUGUCCCCCUUCACGACGCCGAGGAUCGGGUCCAGGAUGAUGGCGUUGGUGAUCACGAGGUCGAGUGCGCCCUGCGCGCUGGUGGCCUCCGGGUCGGCCGCCAUGCCGUCGCG